UUUUUUUAGGACUUUGUUAUGGAAAAGCAAGUAGAUUGUAUUUGAAUUUGUAGGAAUAUUCUGAGUUCUAGUGAUUGAGAAACAAAGUCCUAAGUGGCUAUCUAUAUGCAGCAAGUUCCUCCCUGGAUUUCUUAGACAAGCUGCUAGAAUGUGGACCCUUUCCCAAUGAAAGAUAUACAGUUAAGGAUUAUGAAGCAUUGUACCCCUCCAUACACCAGGCUCCAGCGGUGCUCAUGCUAUAUCGGUUUAUUAUGGAACACUUACCUGAAAUGGACGCUGAUGCUGCUACCAUCAGAAAGAUUUGCCACUUUGUCUCAUAUAAUUUGUACAAUGUGUUUCAAGGAUGCUACUAUUUACAAAAAACAGGUGUCCCUGUAGGAGGCCCCCUGGCGGGCGUCAUGGUGGAAUUGAUAAUAAGAUAUAAAGAGUCCACAGUCUUAGAAAAUUUUAAGAAGGGCA
This 459-nucleotide long non-coding RNA is filed under the name Androctonus crassicauda. Lineage: Eukaryota; Metazoa; Arthropoda; Arachnida; Scorpiones; Buthidae. The record is from RNAcentral.